UGCCCCCUGGCCCAGCUGGUUAAGGCGCACGACUGUUAGGUUGUUCAAUCGUGAGAUCGUGAGUUCGAGCCUCACGGGGGCAG
Molecule: non-coding RNA, 83 nt
Organism: Favolaschia claudopus
Lineage: Eukaryota; Fungi; Basidiomycota; Agaricomycetes; Agaricales; Mycenaceae
Source: the annotation of a GenBank genome assembly